This 386-nucleotide long non-coding RNA is filed under the name Elaeis guineensis (African oil palm). Its description in RNAcentral is "long non-coding RNA (EGUI_LNC037305)". Lineage: Eukaryota; Viridiplantae; Streptophyta; Magnoliopsida; Arecales; Arecaceae. The record is from RNAcentral.
UAUUAUAAUAUAUUUCAUAUUUUUAUGAAAUUAAAACAUCUGAUAUAUAAAUUAUGACAUCCUAUGAGAAAUUUACAUCAUGUUCCUCUAAUAGUUGGCACUCUUCUUACUUGUCCCUCCUACUCUCCUCUUCUUGCCAUCCAUUGGCAAGACCUUCCAACAUCUCCUAUUCCAAGGCUUUCAACACCUUCCAUUCCAAGGCGGGUGUGCAACAGCACACCCCUCUUGAGCUUCCAGCAUCCAUCUGGAGGGUGGGGGGAGUAUCUCUCCAUCGAGCAGAAGUAUCACUGCAAUGGGAGCAUCUUCUAUUGCAACUUCACCAAUAGAGAAUGCUGGAGAAGAUCAUCCUGACCACACCUGCUAGCACUAACAUCUAUUUAUAGAAG